Molecule: ribosomal RNA, 737 nt
Filed under: uncultured bacterium
Lineage: Bacteria
Description: bacterial SSU rRNA
Rfam family: Bacterial small subunit ribosomal RNA
Source: RNAcentral
AACAGGAUUAGAUACCCUGGUAGUCCACGCCGUAAACGAUGAUCACUGGACGUGGGUUUUGCGUUGCAAGAUCCGUGUCGUAGCUAACGCGUUAAGUGAUCCGCCUGGGAAGUACGGUCGCAAGAUUAAAACUCAAAGGAAUUGACGGGGGUCCGCACAAGCGGUGGAACAUGUGGUUUAAUUCGACACUACGCGAGAAACCUUACCUAGGCUUGACAUAUACCUGACAGCUGUAGAAAUACAGUUUUCAGAGCUUGCUCUGACAGGUAAACAGGUGCUGCACGGCUGUCGUCAGCUCGUGUCGUGAGAUGUUUGGUUAAGUCCUCUAACGAGCGCAACCCCUGCCAUUAGUUGCUAUUUCGAAAGAAAGCACUCUAAUGGGACUGCCCAGGAAACUGGGAGGAAGGUGGGGAUGAGGUCAAGUCAUCAUGGCCCUUAUGCCUAGGGCUACACACGUGUUACAAUGGCUAGUACAAAGGGAAGCUAACCCGCGAGGGGGCGCAAAUCUCAUAAAGCUAGCCUAAGUUCGGAUUGGAGUCUGCAACCCGACUCCAUGAAGUUGAAAUCGCUAGUAAUCGCGCAUCAGAACGGCGCGGUGAAUACGUUCUCGGACCUUGUACACACCGCCCGUCACACCACGAAAGUUGUUCACACCAGAAAUUAUUUUAGCUAACCUUAACGGGGGCGAAUAAUGAAGGUGUGGGGGAUGAUUGGGGUGAAGUCGUAACAAGGUAACC